CAGGAUGAACGCUAGCUACAGGCUUAACACAUGCAAGUCGAGGGGCAGCAUGAUCAAAGCUUGCUUUGAUUGAUGGCGACCGGCGCACGGGUGAGUAACGCGUAUCCAACUUCCCCUUAGUAGGGCAUAGCCCGAUGAAAAUCGGAUUAAUACCCUAUGUUCUUCGUAGAAGACAUCUGACAUGAAGCAAAGAUUUAUCGCUAAGGGAUGGGGAUGCGUCCGAUUAGGUAGUCGGCGGGGUAACGGCCCACCGAGCCUUCGAUCGGUAGGGGUUCUGAGAGGAAGGUCCCCCACAUUGGAACUGAGACACGGUCCAAACUCCUACGGGAGGCAGCAGUGAGGAAUAUUGGUCAAUGGACGAGAGUCUGAACCAGCCAAGUAGCGUGCAGGAUGACGGCCCUAUGGGUUGUAAACUGCUUUUAUGCGGGGAUAAAGUGCGGGACGUGUCCCGUUUUGUAGGUACCGCAUGAAUAAGGACCGGCUAAUUCCGUGCC
RNAcentral lists this ribosomal RNA (494 nucleotides) under uncultured bacterium. RNAcentral describes it as "bacterial SSU rRNA". It matches the Rfam family "Bacterial small subunit ribosomal RNA", at positions 25 to 509 of the family's 1533-position model. The record is from RNAcentral.